RNAcentral lists this ribosomal RNA (253 nucleotides) under uncultured bacterium. RNAcentral's name for it is "partial 16S ribosomal RNA". It matches the Rfam family "Bacterial small subunit ribosomal RNA", at positions 524 to 776 of the family's 1533-position model. The record is from RNAcentral.
AACGUAGGGGGCAAGCGUUGCCCGGAUUCACUGGGCGUAAAGCGGGUGUAGGCGGUCCUUUAAGUCAGGUGUGAAAUCCUGCGGCUCAACCGCGGAACUGCAUCUGAUACUGGGGGACUUGAGGACGGUAGAGGUCGGUGGAAUCCCCUGUGUACCGGUGAAAUGGGCAGAUAUAGGGGGGAACACCAGUGGCGAAGGCGGCCGACUGGGCCGAUCCUGACGCUGAGACCCGAAAGCCAGGGUAGCGAACCGG